CAAGACCGGUGCCAGCCGCCGCGGUAACACCGGCAGCUCGAGUGGUAGCCGCGUUUAUUGGGCCUAAAGCGUCCGUAGCCGGUCCGAUAAGUCUCUGGUGAAAGCCCACAGCUCAACUGUGGGAAUCGCUGGAGAUACUAUCGGACCUGAGGCCGGGAGAGGCUGAGGGUACCCCCAGGGUAGGGGUGAAAUCCUAUAAUUUCUGAAGGAGACCACCUGUGGCGAAGGCGUCCAGCUGGAACGGACCUGACGGUGAGGGACGAA
This 264-nucleotide ribosomal RNA is filed under the name uncultured Methanobacteriales archaeon. RNAcentral's name for it is "partial 16S ribosomal RNA". It matches the Rfam family "Archaeal small subunit ribosomal RNA", at positions 447 to 708 of the family's 1478-position model. The record is from RNAcentral. Lineage: Archaea; Methanobacteriati; Methanobacteriota; Methanobacteria; Methanobacteriales.